UACGUAGGGGGCAAACGUUGUUCGGAUUUACUGGGCGUAAAGCGCGUGUAGGCGGCUUUGCAAGUCGGAUGUGAAAUCUCGGAGCUUAACUCCGAAACUGCAUUCGAUACUGCCGUGCUUGAGGACUGGAGAGGAGACUGGAAUUUACGGUGUAGCGGUGAAAUGCGUAGAUAUCGUAAGGAAGACCAGUGGCGAAGGCGGGUCUCUGGACAGUUCCUGACGCUGAGGCACGAAGGUCAGGGGAGCAAACGGG
RNAcentral lists this ribosomal RNA (253 nucleotides) under uncultured bacterium. RNAcentral's name for it is "partial 16S ribosomal RNA". It matches the Rfam family "Bacterial small subunit ribosomal RNA", at positions 524 to 776 of the family's 1533-position model. The record is from RNAcentral.